GAUGAACGCUGGCGGCGUGCCUAAUACAUGCAAGUCGAGCGAACGGACGAGAAGCUUGCUUCUCUGAUGUUAGCGGCGGACGGGUGAGUAACACGUGGAUAACCUACCUAUAAGACUGGGAUAACUUCGGGAAACCGGAGCUAAUACCGGAUAAUAUUUUGAACCGCAUGGUUCAAAAGUGAAAGACGGUCUUGCUGUCACUUAUAGAUGGAUCCGCGCUGCAUUAGCUAGUUGGUAAGGUAACGGCUUACCAAGGCAACGAUGCAUAGCCGACCUGAGAGGGUGAUGGGCAACACUGGAACUGAGACACGGUCCAGACUCCUACGGGAGGCAGCAGUAGGGAAUCUUCCGCAAUGGGCGAAAGCCUGACGGAGCAACGCCGCGUGAGUGAUGAAGGUCUUCGGAUCGUAAAACUCUGUUAUUAGGGAAGAACAUAUGUGUAAGUAACUGUGCACAUCUUGACGGUACCUAAUCAGAAAGCCACGGCUAACUACGUG
Molecule: ribosomal RNA, 497 nt
Filed under: uncultured bacterium
Lineage: Bacteria
Description: partial 16S ribosomal RNA
Rfam family: Bacterial small subunit ribosomal RNA
Source: RNAcentral